Molecule: ribosomal RNA, 253 nt
Filed under: uncultured bacterium
Lineage: Bacteria
Description: partial 16S ribosomal RNA
Rfam family: Bacterial small subunit ribosomal RNA
Source: RNAcentral
UACGGAGGAUCCGAGCGUUAUCCGGAUUUAUUGGGUUUAAAGGGAGCGUAGGCGGAUUAUUAAGUCAGUUGUGAAAGUUUGCGGCUCAACCGUAAAAUUGCAGUUGAUACUGGUAGUCUUGAGUGCAGCAGAGGUAGGCGGAAUUCGUGGUGUAGCGGUGAAAUGCUUAGAUAUCACGAAGAACUCCGAUUGCGAAGGCAGCUUACUGGACUGUAACUGACGCUGAUGCUCGAAAGUGUGGGUAUCAAACAGC